This 109-nucleotide ribosomal RNA is filed under the name Lepisosteus oculatus (spotted gar). The record is from RNAcentral. Lineage: Eukaryota; Metazoa; Chordata; Actinopteri; Semionotiformes; Lepisosteidae.
UCAUGCAGCUACACCACCCUGAAUAUGCCUGAUCUUAGCUGCUAAGCGGGGUUGGGCCUGGUUUGUACUUGGAUGGGAGACUGCCUGGGAAUGCCAGGUGCUGUAAGCU